AGUCAUAUGCUUGUCUCAAAGAUUAAGCCAUGCAUGUCUCAGUACAAACCAAAAUAAGGUGAAACCGCGAAAGGCUCAUUAAAUCAGUUAUGGUUCCUUAGAUCGUACACACAUUUACUUGGAUAACUGUGGUAAUUCUAGAGCUAAUACAUGCCUACAGGGCUCCGACCGGAGACGGAAGGAGUGCCUUUAUUAGAUCAAAACCAAUCGGUGGCGCGGCCUCGGUCGUGUCAUCGUACAACAUGGUGAAUCUGAAUAACGUUUGCUGAUCGCACGGUCUCGCACCGGCGACGCAUCUUUCAAAUGUCUGCCUUAUCAACUGUCGAUGGUAGGUUCUGCGCCUACCAUGGUUGUAACGGGUAACGGGGAAUCAGGGUUCGAUUCCGGAGAGGGAGCCUGAGAAACGGCUACCACAUCCAAGGAAGGCAGCAGGCGCGCAAAUUACCCACUCCCAGCACGGGGAGGUAGUGACGAAAAAUAACGAUACGGGACUCAUCCGAGGCCCCGUAAUCGGAAUGAGCACACUUUAAAUCCUUUCACGAGGAUCAAUCGGAGGGCAAGUCAGGUGCCAGCAGCCGCGGUAAUUCCUGCUCCGAUAGCGUAU
This 604-nucleotide ribosomal RNA is filed under the name Bellesia espanyoli. RNAcentral describes it as "SSU rRNA". It matches the Rfam family "Eukaryotic small subunit ribosomal RNA", at positions 22 to 602 of the family's 1831-position model. Lineage: Eukaryota; Metazoa; Arthropoda; Insecta; Coleoptera; Leiodidae. The record is from RNAcentral.